CCUCUGCCAACUUCUGUGCACUCUUCAGAACGUUUUGAAAUCCCUCAUCUGACUGGAUUCAGUACAAUACAUCCAUCAUAGGAUGGCUUUGAGCUAAAGAUUCAAUACAAAAAAGGAAGGUCACACAUCAAGAUAGCCAAAAAUCUGAUUUGUUCAGGUGGUUGAAUGCCAUUCAUACAUCAUGCUUCAGUGCUUAUCUUUUAUAUAGAAGUGUCAUGCUUAUAACAUAUAAAGGUAAUAUACUUCUAUGGUCUGACCACAAGCUGGUUAUGAUUUUUUUCUGUGAACUGGUAAAAAGGUAACCACGUACCAUGACAAUCUCUGGAGUAAUUUUUCAUUUUUGCAUUUGCAUAACUUUUCUGUUUAUGAUGCCUGUUUCCAUAGAGAAGGCUUAUUAUUUCAGUAUUUGCACUAAUGAUUGAAACCAGCACUUUGAUGGAGCACUGCAAUGCUAUCAUUACUAUUCAAAAUUAGUGCCGCUGUAUUUUGAAGUCAGUAUCUGAAGAACAAAGAAGCUGGACACACCAGUCACUAGAAGAUCCAAGCCAUUGCCGAGGCAGUAUUCAACUGAUCGCAAAAAAAACUUAUUUCUGCACUUUUUGAGUAUAAUAGGUACUUUUGACUGGCUCUGGCAGCCCCUUUGAGUUGGAAAUCCCUUUUCCUAAAUACAAGUGACUUGAUUCUUGUUUACACUUAGGUCAUAUUACUCUGGAAGUAUAUUUAUGUCAGCUUUAAAGCCAGAGCACUGUAAAGGGGGCCUUAAUAUAAAUGAGAACUAGGAACAAAAUAGAUUAGGGCCAUAUUAGGGUUGAAGUUUCAUUUACAUGAUAUUGCUCUCAUUUCACAUCAGUGUAAUGUAGAAAUAAAUCAAAAUAGAUCUUCCUUAUAUAUAUUUGCUAUAGCUACUUUAAUGUACAUGCUUGUCACUGAGCACCUUCCAGUACUAAAGUUACUAACAUUACUAAUGUCUCUAUAUGUUGUCUGUUCUCUCCUCCUCUUCCCAAUGUUUUGUUAGGGUUUUUUCUUUGUUUGCUUUGAUUUUAAAUAUACACGUUAUGUUAAAGAAGGCAGAUCAACAAAUGUACCUCGGAUUUGGAGCGAAAGUUGGUGAGGUUGGCGAUGCUCAAACCGGCCACUGAGAAAGUUCUUCGGCUGCACAGAUGAGCUUUACCAUUAUUCUAUGUAGUUCCCUUGUGCCUGAGGAGCAUAGUUGCCAACCACGACCUCAUCCCAGAGCUUUAGAUGUUCUCUUAAAUGCUCUGUUGCUUCAGCCCAGGGUGUUUUGAAGAUAAGGACUGAGCCCUUGAAUUUGACUUAACAUUCUAUGGGAAGCCAACAUAGAGAGAAGAUGACAGGUUUGAUGUGCUCAUGGUAGCCUGUGUUGCUGUGGAGAUACACAGCAGCGUUCUGUACUAAUUGGUUUUCUUAAUGGCUGAAGGCUUCAUAUCCUGGUAUAAACUAGAUUGCUUAGCUUUUUAAGUAUUCCAUGUAUAAACCGUGGGACCAAAAAGAAAAGGUAAAUAAUUCGGUAAAUAAUGUGUCUGGUAAGGGCAUAUAUUUUUUCUGUCACAUUCCAGCUAGUCAUAUUUUACUGACUCUCAUUAGUUUGAGAAUAUCUGAAUGCAUUUUUAGACCUGAACUGAAAGAGCUUCAGCUGAGUGUUUUGGAAAGUGAAAUGAUUAAUUAUGCCAACAAGAUCUAAACAUUUCUAAUUUAUAUCAUUUUUUGAUUGGUGGUCAUGAGGGAUAUUUUCAAAGGUCAUUAAAAUGGUGGAAUGCAGAAUUAAAUACAGAUUAUUCAGAGGAUAAUCAGUGAUUGAUAUAUGAGCGGGUUAAAUUUGUACGAAUAAAUACUAAAACACCAGAUCAUAUUAUUUAAUUUUCAGUAGAGCUUAUAAAUGGCUGCAAAACUAAAAACCAUGAUGCAUAACUCUAUUUUGCAGCUGUUUAAUAAAUAUAAUAUAGGGAACUUUGGUUUUAUGCAUGUGGUUUGGAAUUGUAGAAAGAUCAUAACAUUUUGGUCAGGAGGUAAAGGCAAAAAUUUAUGGAUGUGAUUGACUUAUUUCUCACUGGAUCUUUGAAUUAAAAAAAAAAAGAAAAGAAAAAGAAAUCAUGCUAAACAGACAUCAAAGAAAACUUAUUGGAAAAACAUUCUCUGUAGCAAUCUUCCCAUCCCCAUAUAAAUAGACAUUGGACAAAGAAAUGUAUAUAAUCAGUGCCAGAAUAGAUUAACUAUAUGUGUGUAUCUAUCUGAUUAGAACAUACACAACACAAUUUAUAAUAUCACUUUGGGCACAGGGGAGAAAAAGAAAUUGGUUCAAACUAUUGUCAUGAUGGUCAACCAGUUUUGAGAUUUAUAUUUUCCUUGGCAGGUCAUAUUAAAAAUGUUGUCCCAGAUUGCUUUACUUCAGUAAGUGGCAAACUCCACUAAUGCUACUAUGAAAGCAAUGGAAUUUCAUUGGAAAUCUGUUUUGCAAGGUUAAUUUGUCCAUUACAACGAAUAGCAAAUGAUAAUUAGAUAUGCCUUUGAGGUGCUCGAUAGUGUAACGAUCUUGGGGUUCAUUAAAUAACAAACCAGUGAAUGAGAGAGGAAUGGAACUGCAAUAAAACAAAUGGGAGAACUUCUGUAGUGAGCUGCUGCACACCCAGGCAGUGUUCCCAACCCCCACCUCCAGGGCACAUCUCCAAAUUCCCACAGUCAUAAUACUGUUCCUCAUCCAUUGGAUGAUUUAGUUGGGGAUUGGUCCUCCUUUGAGCAGGGGGUUGGACUAGAUGACCUCCUAAGGUCCCUUCCAACCCUGAUAUUCUAUGAUUCUAUGAUUAUAAGGGAGCAUCUCUAAAUCACAAUAUUUCAUAAGCAUAUCUCUACAGAUAGAGUGCCUUCUUCCUGUGUUUUUUAUCAUGUGUUCUCUAUUACUUUAACUAAAUAACAGAGCCAUAACUAGGCAUUUAGCACCCCGGGGUGAGCAAGCAUAUUUGCACCCCCUAUCAUUUUUUCAUCAUUUUUCCACCCAGAGGCAACGUGGUCUGGCACCCUGGGCUUACGUGCCCCUCCCACUCCUCUCUGGAUUUUUUGGUUGUGACCCACCAACUCAGAUAGGCUGGGUGACUGGCUGAGGUGAGUCGGGGUGAAGGUGGUGCUUCUUCCCUGAGCCCCAUCGUGCAGGGCCGGCCCAAUCAAGCUGCUUGGCACGCUGGGCAGCUGCCCCGCUUGCCCUGCCCUGGUGACAGCCGUGCUAAAUAGGAAUUCCUCUAUAAUUACAUAUUUCUUGCAUUUCAAACAUCACAUACCUUCCUGGGGCAAAAUAUUCUGAGUGUUAACUUACUUUUAUUAACCUGUUUAUUGUACUUGGAACUGAUUGUGACUCUAAGUGUUGCUAAAACUUGUAUCCAUGCCUUGUCAUGUUGUAAUUUUAGUCUUGUGUAAUGUUUCAUGAUGAUAAGAUUUUGUAUGAAAUGAAAUAUAGCAGAGCUAAAAAUGACUUGUAAACACAGAUUCUCAGUGCUGUGCUUUGAGGUACUCUCCUUUUAAAUUAAAACUCUCUUUACCCUGUCAGCUUGGGAAGCAGCCAGUCACACUAAUAAAAUGUCUCCAGUCAGUUUUAUGAGCAAGCAACAAUACGUUCCACAGGCGUGUGUGCAGCCUCAUCGCUAUGCGUGUGGUGAGGUCUGAUGUGUAGCUCUAUGUCUUAACAUGCCCCUGGUGUGUAUGUGGUAUAUUGGCUGUCGACUGCAAAAACUCAAGUGUUUUGUUGCAUGAAAAAAAAAGUAUUUGGAUUAAAAAGAAACCCAGUUUGAAAGGUUAAAUCUCAUACACUUAUCAAAUAUUACCUGCAAGAGAAAAUAAGAG
Long non-coding RNA from Chelonia mydas (Green sea turtle), 3849 nucleotides. RefSeq lists it as uncharacterized. Lineage: Eukaryota; Metazoa; Chordata; Testudines; Cheloniidae. The record is from RefSeq and is a predicted model, not a curated record. The transcript is spliced from 2 exons.